This 883-nucleotide ribosomal RNA is filed under the name Escherichia coli. RNAcentral's name for it is "partial 23S ribosomal RNA". It matches the Rfam family "Bacterial large subunit ribosomal RNA", at positions 418 to 1300 of the family's 2925-position model. Lineage: Bacteria; Pseudomonadati; Pseudomonadota; Gammaproteobacteria; Enterobacterales; Enterobacteriaceae. The record is from RNAcentral.
CGGGACACGUGGUAUCCUGUCUGAAUAUGGGGGGACCAUCCUCCAAGGCUAAAUACUCCUGACUGACCGAUAGUGAACCAGUACCGUGAGGGAAAGGCGAAAAGAACCCCGGCGAGGGGAGUGAAAAAGAACCUGAAACCGUGUACGUACAAGCAGUGGGAGCACGCUUAGGCGUGUGACUGCGUACCUUUUGUAUAAUGGGUCAGCGACUUAUAUUCUGUAGCAAGGUUAACCGAAUAGGGGAGCCGAAGGGAAACCGAGUCUUAACUGGGCGUUAAGUUGCAGGGUAUAGACCCGAAACCCGGUGAUCUAGCCAUGGGCAGGUUGAAGGUUGGGUAACACUAACUGGAGGACCGAACCGACUAAUGUUGAAAAAUUAGCGGAUGACUUGUGGCUGGGGGUGAAAGGCCAAUCAAACCGGGAGAUAGCUGGUUCUCCCCGAAAGCUAUUUAGGUAGCGCCUCGUGAAUUCAUCUCCGGGGGUAGAGCACUGUUUCGGCAAGGGGGUCAUCCCGACUUACCAACCCGAUGCAAACUGCGAAUACCGGAGAAUGUUAUCACGGGAGACACACGGCGGGUGCUAACGUCCGUCGUGAAGAGGGAAACAACCCAGACCGCCAGCUAAGGUCCCAAAGUCAUGGUUAAGUGGGAAACGAUGUGGGAAGGCCCAGACAGCCAGGAUGUUGGCUUAGAAGCAGCCAUCAUUUAAAGAAAGCGUAAUAGCUCACUGGUCGAGUCGGCCUGCGCGGAAGAUGUAACGGGGCUAAACCAUGCACCGAAGCUGCGGCAGCGACGCUUAUGCGUUGUUGGGUAGGGGAGCGUUCUGUAAGCCUGUGAAGGUGUACUGUGAGGUAUGCUGGAGGUAUCAGAAGUGCGAAUGCUGA